RNAcentral lists this ribosomal RNA (474 nucleotides) under Pseudomonas fluorescens. Its description in RNAcentral is "bacterial SSU rRNA". It matches the Rfam family "Bacterial small subunit ribosomal RNA", at positions 30 to 497 of the family's 1533-position model. The record is from RNAcentral. Lineage: Bacteria; Pseudomonadati; Pseudomonadota; Gammaproteobacteria; Pseudomonadales; Pseudomonadaceae.
AUUGAACGCUGGCGGCAGGCCUAACACAUGCAAGUCGAGCGGUAGAGAGAAGCUUGCUUCUCUUGAGAGCGGCGGACGGGUGAGUAAUGCCUAGGAAUCUGCCUGGUAGUGGGGGAUAACGUUCGGAAACGGACGCUAAUACCGCAUACGUCCUACGGGAGAAAGCAGGGGACCUUCGGGCCUUGCGCUAUCAGAUGAGCCUAGGUCGGAUUAGCUAGUUGGUGAGGUAAUGGCUCACCAAGGCGACGAUCCGUAACUGGUCUGAGAGGAUGAUCAGUCACACUGGAACUGAGACACGGUCCAGACUCCUACGGGAGGCAGCAGUGGGGAAUAUUGGACAAUGGGCGAAAGCCUGAUCCAGCCAUGCCGCGUGUGUGAAGAAGGUCUUCGGAUUGUAAAGCACUUUAAGUUGGGAGGAAGGGCAGUUACCUAAUACGUGAUUGUUUUGACGUUACCGACAGAAUAAGCACCGCU